RNAcentral lists this ribosomal RNA (489 nucleotides) under uncultured bacterium. RNAcentral's name for it is "partial 16S ribosomal RNA". It matches the Rfam family "Bacterial small subunit ribosomal RNA", at positions 30 to 506 of the family's 1533-position model. The record is from RNAcentral.
AUUGAACGCUGGCGGCAGGCCUAACACAUGCAAGUCGAACGGUAACAGGAAGCAGCUUGCUGCUUUGCUGACGAGUGGCGGACGGGUGAGUAAUGUCUGGGAAACUGCCCGAUGGAGGGGGAUAACUACUGGAAACGGUAGCUAAUACCGCAUAACGUCGCAAGACCAAAGAGGGGGACCUUAGGGCCUCUUGCCAUCGGAUGUGCCCAGAUGGGAUUAGCUAGUAGGUGGGGUAACGGCUCACCUAGGCGACGAUCCCUAGCUGGUCUGAGAGGAUGACCAGCCACACUGGAACUGAGACACGGUCCAGACUCCUACGGGAGGCAGCAGUGGGGAAUAUUGCACAAUGGGCGCAAGCCUGAUGCAGCCAUGCCGCGGGUAUGAAGAAGGCCUUCGGGUUGUAAAGUACUUUCAGCGGGGAGGAAGGGAGUAAAGUUAAUACCUUUGCUCAUUGACGUUACCCGCAGAAGAAGCACCGGAUAAAUCCGG